UCGGGAAUUUUGGGCAAUGGGCGAAAGCCUGACCCAGCAACGCCGCGUGAGGGAUGAAGUAUUUCGGUAUGUAAACCUCGAAAGAAUGGGAAGAAUAAAUGACGGUACCAUUUAUAAGCUCCGGCUAACUACGUGCCAGCAGCCGCGGUAAUACGUAGGGAGCAAGCGUUGUUCGGAUUUACUGGGCGUAAAGGGCGCGUAGGCGGCGCGGUAAGUCACGUGUGAAAUCUCUGUGCUUAACUCAGAACGGCCAAGUGAUACUGCUGUGCUAGAGUGCGGAAGAGGCAACCGGAAUUCUUGGUGUAGCGGUGAAAUGCGUAGAUAUCAAGAGGAACACCUGAGGCGAAGGCGGGUUGCUGGGCCGACACUGACGCUGAUGCGCGAAAGCCAGGGGAGCAAACG
RNAcentral lists this ribosomal RNA (402 nucleotides) under uncultured bacterium. RNAcentral describes it as "bacterial SSU rRNA". It matches the Rfam family "Bacterial small subunit ribosomal RNA", at positions 355 to 774 of the family's 1533-position model. The record is from RNAcentral.